RNAcentral lists this small nucleolar RNA (131 nucleotides) under Echinops telfairi (small Madagascar hedgehog). Its description in RNAcentral is "Small nucleolar RNA SNORA61 (ENSETEG00000026074.1)". The record is from RNAcentral. Lineage: Eukaryota; Metazoa; Chordata; Mammalia; Afrosoricida; Tenrecidae.
CCCCCCCAGAUUCCUUAUCCCUGGACCUAGAUAUUGGUCUGAGUGGCUGAAAAUAAAAAGGAGGAAUAGUAAAACUGAGAGGGACUUGGACUUGGAGUCUUCAGUAACAAACAAUUUCAUCUCAAAAUGAA